RNA transcript from Lotus japonicus, 5533 nucleotides. RefSeq lists it as uncharacterized. NCBI's taxonomy places the organism in Eukaryota, Viridiplantae, Streptophyta, Magnoliopsida, Fabales, Fabaceae. The record is from RefSeq and is a predicted model, not a curated record. The transcript has 3 exons.
UAUAAAAAGCCCUCAUUAGAUAUGACUGAAUUGCUCCAACAAUGCUUUCUUCCUCUCCUUAAGGUCGGUCGCAUACAUAGGUUUGGGGAGAUAUUCUAUUUUCCAUUUGUGCCUGGUUUGAGAGAGAGAGAGAGAGAGAGGUCUUAAAUAGAGACAUGGUGAAACGAAGAAAGAAAGCUUUUCAUAUUCUCCCUUCCUCUUCUUGUACCAUCACCUCGACCAUUCUCCUUCACCUCCAAGACUUCUUUUGUCUAUUGUGUUCUUCACUAAAGAGACAUAGCAAUUGGAACUUGGAAGAAUUAGAAUUGGCAAGGCACAAGAACAAAAUUAAAAAGCAGAGGAGAUGGGGGGAAUCAUGGAGAAAGAGGCGCAAAAUUGAAGCAGAGAAGUCAUGGAGAAAGAGACAAGAAUGAGUGGAUGGAUGAAAAAACUUGCUGGAGAGGAUCCUGGUUCCACACGACGGUUACUAAUGUGAAGGUUAAGUCAAUUUUACUGUUACUGAUUAUCAUCAUUAUUAUUUUUAAUUCUUUCACAACUUGUCAUGAAUAUUAUGAGAAACUCAUUAAAAGUUUUACAAUUAGUAUUUUGUAUAGUGAAUAAUAUACAAAAUUUAUUAAUAUCUAACUAAUAUUUUUAUAAUGUGAAGCUCAAGUCAAUUUUACUAUUACUUGUUUUUAUCAUUAUCAUUAAUUUUUUUCUUAAGUUGCAUUGAUAAUUAUUUAAAUAUUAAUACUAAUUAUUUUCAAAUUCGAGAAAAUAUUUUUUUUACAAUUAGUAAUUAUUAUAAUUAUUAAUGUAAAAUUUUAUUAAUAACUAAUUAAUAUUGUUAUUAAUGUAUAGGUCAAGUCAAUUUUACGUCUAUAUACAUUCAUUGAUUGAUAUUGAUAAUGAUGGUGAAGGCUCCACAAAACACUACUUUAAUUCCAAUUUAUUUUGUCAUAAAUAUUGUAGGUCAAAUUUGAAAUACAUUUUUAAGGAAUGUGUUAAAAAAAAGUUAAUAUGAAGUUCUACAUUUUUUUUUCCGAAAGCAAACUUAUAUUCAUGAGCAUCAUGAUGUGCAACCCUCCUCAAAAGGGUGCAAAAACUAGCAACCUUGGAAACAACUCAACCCAAGAAGAAAGAACAGCCAAUCCAGAAAAGGAACUAGAAAAACACCUAAACCCCAUGCUUUCUUAAGGAGACUUGCAAGCAUUGAUCUGAUAAACAACAUGAAAUAGGGAAAUACCAUUGGUGAAGUUGUAAACCAUAGCUUUGGGGGGUUUCUGGCUUUUUUUUUUAUGGUUCCUUUCUGGGUUUGUUGUUCUUUCUUCUUGGGUUGGGUUGUUUCCAGUGUUGCUAGUUUUUUGACCCAUUUUGAGGAGGGUUGUACAUCAUGACAUUCAAUUCAUUAAUAUGAUUUUACUUUCAGGAAAAAAAAUUAACUUUAUAAUUUUUUAAUUUUUUUAUCACUUUCUGUAAAUAAUAUAUUUCAAAUUUGGUGUCGAAUAUUUAUGGCAAAAUAUAUUGGAAUUAAAGAAGUAUUUUGUGGAACCUAUAUAUAUGUGUGUGUGUGUAAAAUUGACUUGAUAUAUGCGUGAAUAAAAUUAUUAUUUAUCAAUGUUUCAAAUAUCAUAUUGUUAUUAAAUAUUCAUUAAUUUUCAAAGCAUUAACUCAUUCCCUCAUUGUACAUAUGUGAGUAAUGUAUUUAUCAAAAUACCAAUUAAUACAUUUCACAUGCAUAAACAUUUUUUGCUAUAAAAAGCUCUGAUUAGAUGUGACUGAAUCGCUCCAACAAUGCUUUCCCACACCCUUGCCCAAAACCACCACCAUCAUGAUUGAUCUGAUAAAUUUUUCAACAUUAGUCAGGCUCUUCUUUUCAACAUAUUGUGCAACCAAGUAUUCUUUGAUUCUCGUUCUUUCAAUACCCAUAUUUAAUUUUCAUAUUGUUCAAGGGAGACAUUAAGUCAGAGACUCUAUACAUAUUCUUUUCAACCUAAUUUUUCUAGGCUUCUAUUCUUACAAGAAACUAUACACUAUGCUAUAGCACGGUUUUCCAUGAACACCACCAACACCUUAGGUGAUGCCCUAGUGCAGACCAAACUCAUUUUGUAUGGUAACUUGCAUGUUGUGGUUUACAACACCAAUAAACCCCAAAAUAAGUUAUGGCAUCUACUAGGAUAAGACAUAGUAUCGUUGAAAUUUCACAAUUUCAAGCUCCACCCAUUCAUGAUAGGUCCAUAGAAGUGUCUCCAAUUGAUGGAAUUAAGCCAUAUAUUGACAUGCUGGAUAAAUCCAUUAACAUUGUUGUGUCUGUUAAUAUCGCUGAUGAAAAAGUGAAAAUUUAAGAUUAUGGUUCUAGGGAUUUAAUGGAAUAAUGGAAAUUAGAGCUUUACAGUGUCUUAGUUUUAAAUUCAAUUUUCAUCAAUGAUAUUAACAGACAUAUUAUUGUUGAUGGGUUUAUCCAACAAGUCUAUAUAAGGCUUAGUUUCAUCGAUUUGAGACACUUCUAUGUACUUGUGAUUGGUGGGUGUAGCUUGCAAUUGUGAAAUUUCAACAAUAUCAUUCCUCAUCCAAAUAGAUUUCGUAGCUUUUUGUUGGGGGUUGGUGUGGUUGUAAAGCAUCUACCGCCAAAUUAGCAUACGGAAAAUUGGUUUGGUCUGAGUUGGAGCAUCACCCAUAUUGGUUUUUGUAACACUUGAAAAACCCAGAUAUUAGCAUAUUAUAAAGUUUCUUGUAUGAAUAAAUGCCAGGGAAAAUUAGGUUGGAAAGGGAUAGGUAUCAAACCACUCAUCUAAUGGUUAAAAGUUAUUUUGAGACUUAAAGCUUAUUUUUCCUUUAGAUCUAGCCUUAGAUAUACCUUGUAUUUUAUUGGUUUAAAAGAAAAAUCUCAUCUUGCCUUUUUUCUUGUUAAGGCCGUGGCUUAUUGGUGAUGUUUGGGUGAAGAUCUUUUUUUAAAAAGCUAGUUUGCUUGCUUGGUAUUAGAUCUAAGUCUUAGGUAAGUUUUGGUUAAGUUUGUGUGAGAAAAACCUCACCUUUUGCCAAUGUUGAUUCUCGAACAUACACUGAUUAUGGGGUUGGGGCUUUACAAAAUUUUAUUUGAGCUUUGAUAUAUGUUUUUAAGUUUUCAAAUAGCCUUAGAAGUGAUUUGGGGAAAAAGCUAAUGUUGUUGGUGAAUUAAGUGGUAGGGUCGAGGGCCCACAUAUGACUUUUGGAACUAUUUUAAUUGGUGAAACUCGUUAUGUGGUGAUUUUUUUAAGAAGCCAAAUGAAUAUAUUGAAGUGAAGUACAAAUGAUACUUCAAUCCAAUACAAGAGGAGAAAGAGAAAGUGUAAAGAUAAAGGGAAAAAAAUAGCAAAUACAAAAUCUGAGAGCCUCCAACAGGCAAAGAGAGCUCGACAUCUCCUUCGAGAAAAGACCAAAGAGAAUAAGCCUCAUUAAAACCUUACCAGUUACCAGGAAAAACUCACUUGAAAAAACCUGGAAAAGGAAAAAUUUUGCAAAUUUUCUAGGGGUCAUAAUGAAUCUCCAAAGAGAACUAAAUCGCUAACUAACUAAGAAUAUACCCAUUGAGGCAAAAUACCUCAAUCAUCUAGACAAGAAUAAGACCCAACAUUGCAGAAACAAAGUUUGCCAAGUCCCAUCCUCACAGUAACGUCAAAUGCUAAGGAAUGACCCUUCAAAACUUUUCCCCAAAAGCCACGACACCACCCACUCAGCUGUAGAGACCAGAAAAUCAUUAGGAGAAGACAAAAGCAAAAUACUUCAAUCCGCCAACAACAAUACAAAGUUCAGUGAAUCAAAGACAAACACAACAACUCUCCAACCGACAAAUUGGCCAGCCUAAAGGACAUCGGCACAAGAGACAGGAUUUGAAAUCCAUUCAAUCAAGGAGUAACUAAAAUAGCCAUCCUUUGCUUUUAACCAUAACCAAACCCUGUACUGGACCAGGUCAAGAAGCCUAUUCCAAUCAACCUUCUCUCCUUUACAAAUUCUACUAUUUCGAGAGUACCAAAUAGCCCCAACUGUAGCUAUCAAAAUCAGAGAAAGGACCAUCUUCCACGAAUUAUUUCCCGAACAGAUGUUCAAGAACUGCAUAAAAUGAGGUUUUCCUUCACAGGGCAACACUGAAAUAGAGCCAAUCCAGCGCAAGACACCACACCAAACUAACCAACUCAUCGGGCAACAGAAGAAUAGAUGAGAAAUUGAGCACACUGCACAAGAUACAUCAGUUCCACUUGGAAUCACAUUCCUUUUUCUCAGUUCAUCUUUCGUCUGAAGCUUUUUAAUCAACACAUUCCAGGCUAAGGCUAACGAGUUUGACGGAGCCUUAGACGCCCAUAAGAAAUCAAAUAAGCCUUCAUGAGACCUGAGUUGUUUAAGUUGGGUUAGGAGUUAUGAUGCUUAAAAAUUUGAUUUUGGGUCCAAACUAUGAAUUAUAGAAACUUUGGGUUGAAAUUAAGAUUGUUAGAGGACUUGAAUUGAAUUAUUUAAAGUUCGAGGACUUAUUUGGGGAUUGUGUUUCCUUAAUCUUUGUUGUGCAAAACACCUGCAUUUAGUAUAAGUAAGUUAAGAAAAUUUGUAAGCUUUAGAUUUAGAUCUUAGGUGAUCUUAGAAGCUAAGUAUAAUAUUUGUGUGCUUGUUAAGGUUUGGAGCACACGGUGGUUUGUGAGCUAGGACUUAAAACUUGUGAGGAGAAUACCAAAGGUAAUAACACUUCGAGUUCUAGACUUUAGCGUGCAACUUUGUUUGUUAAUUAUAUGACUUGAAUUGUCUUGAUGAUCGAUGUUGAAAAUGAGUUUGUGAACUUAUGAAUGGAAGUAUACCAUGGACCAUGGUAUAUGAGAAUAUGAUACGUGAAUAUGUGUGAGCUAUGUUUCAAAUGAUAUUUUGAUUCUUGAUAUGUGUUAAGUGGACUUGGAAACAUGACUUAUUGAAACAUGCUUAUAUAAGAACAUGAGUUUGAUGAUAUGAUCACAUGCUUAUAAUUAUGUGAAUCACACGAUAAUCUUUUAGACGAUUAUAUGCUUGAGAUAGUAGUAUAUCUCGAUAACAAGCAAUAAUUGUAUGGACUAUUUAUUGUGCUUCUCUAUUAGAUGAUAUUAUCGAUUGUAUUCGUUGGAGCUACAGAUACCCAUAAUUUUCAUGACCCCGACCACUCAUGUCGCGCGAGGAUACUCCGUUGGAAACUUAACUCCGAUUGUUUUACUAAUCAUGGAGCAUAACAUUAAAUUUCUAAAGAAACCCGGGAGCUGCUUGAGGAUGGGGAGUACGGCUCCAGGUGGAUCAAGAUUAUGUGCGUCUCCAUUCAUUUAGGAUUCAUUAGAAGUCGCAUACCAUGGUAGAUCGCUAGUCACGUGCUAACCGAUUGGGUAUCCUUGGAUCUUUGUCUUAACUGCCUUGUAUGGAAGUUGGUGUAAAUUAUGUACAACAUGAUGAAAACAACAUUAAACAUACUACAUACGAUAAUUAGAGACCAUGUAGGUCUCCCCUGAACUAUGUCGAUAUCCGACUAUGUUUGUGUUUGAGAUGUCUUGUUGUGCAUGCUUAUUGGUUA